UGUUGCAGGAAACUGAUAGCCAGCUGUGCCUGCUCCACUUUUUGGAGAACAACAAACUUGAAUCUCUCACUCCUUUCAGAUCCAGCUGUGCCACAUGGUCUGCUGAGCAUCCAACAGAAUUAACUUCAGGCAGAUAACUUUCAAUCCAUGGGAAAUGGACAUCGCCUUUUUGAGGAGAUGAUCUCCUUCAAGGGACCCAAAGAAAAGCUCAAGAUUAAGUGGACUAUACUCCUCCUUCCCCAACUAUCACCACUUGUAAAACCCACCGAGGAGACAGCAAAGGUAUAUAGAGUCCCUGAAAAUCUGCUGUUGCCAUUACCAUUCCUGACAUUCAAUUUAUUUGCUAAAACAGCCAGGAAAAGUAUACUUGAAAAGGUUGCAAGAACAUACUCAGGCAAGCUCACAUUUUGAAUUGAUACUCAUGUUGGUUUCUCUCUGAAAAGUACCUAUGCAUCUCACAAAAAUUUCAUUUCCAGAUACUAUUAGUACUAGCAAGAGUUAAAGACUGUUCUCCUGUCUUAAUUUAGAAGAUAUGCAAUUCUAUUAGUCUCAUGGACAAUGCCAUAACACAUGUAUUAUACACUUACUCGUCCCCUCCAAUUUCUCAAUCAAAGCCAUUCUGAAUCAAUUAAAUAUACUCCAAUACUGUGUGUGGUGCUGGCUCCAUUCUCCCCACCCCAAAGUGACAGAUGCCAGUCUUACACAGAGUACCACAACCUAAAACCAAGACUCUUCUCAGUUACACUGCUGCGAUCUCACUGAUGUCAGCAGGGUUGCACUGAAGUAACUGGAAAAAGAAUUUAGCACCUGGGGUUUAAGCUGCAGCAGUGAGAGUGCCUCCAUGUGCAGAACGUAUGUUUAGCACGUUUGAUUACUGGGAGAAAGCAAAGUCACCUGCCAUACACAUUUUGACUUAUGACUUUAAGAAAAUGUUUUUUAAGUCUCACGGUUAGGAGAGAAUGAGGGACACUAAAAGCUUAGCAGUUAAAAAAUGUGAAGGAAAUAACAUGAGAAAGCAAGAAAGGGAAAACAUUUCUUACCACCAGCAGGAUUAGCUGAUCUCGAUCCUUGAUUAUGAGGGCAGACCAAGGGACAGGCAAAAAGUGGAUUAAAAGACAGCAAGACAAUACUGCGUUCAGCAUGCGGUUUAUGCUAUACACAAUACAGACAGAUUUAUUUACAAACAUGUCACUCCUAAAGCCUCUGCAGAAUGCAGUGAGUUAAUGUGCAGAUGCAACUAAAUUUCCCAAGGUUGAUCAGUUACUUAGUAAAAUGUCAACCAAGACACUGAGACUCAAGUUCUGCUCUAAAUUACACCCCAGCCCAGUCUGAAAAAUUUCAGCAUGGUUACCCACUGUGUGGGUAUGGAGAAUUUGGUCCUGUGACUUAUAUUUGAAUUCAUAAAUUAUUUCAAGCAACUUGGCUUAAGGAUAAAGAACACAUCUGAUUGGGCUAGGCUGGAAAUGGGAUUCAGCAAACUAGACCAAGGCAGCAAGUUCAGAUAUGACCAUCCUAAAUUUUCAUAAGGCAUUCUAUAAAAAAAAAAAAGUAAGUUCAUAAUAUCUGAAACCUUCGGAUAUUUAACUAUUCUUUAAAUACUUCUGAGACUUGUCUCAUGCAGUCUGACCAUUUUUCACCAAACUAAGUUUAGGAAAAAAAGGGUAAUUUCUGGAUUUAGAUCAGUUUUAGGUUCAAAACUUAAGCAAUCAAUUUAUAUCAGCAUACCUAAGCCCAAAUAUAUCUUCGAGACCCCAAUGUAAAGAUUUUCAUUUGGCCCUAUUCUCAACAUACUACUGCUUUCUUCAGCUCUCUCAGCUUAACACAAGGUUACAAACUGCUUCUUCACCUCUCCAGCAUGACAGAGCAAAGCAAUGAGAGAAUGAACAGAGAAGGGCUUUUAAAUAAGGGUACAAAGCAAGACAAGUCCUCAGAACAGACAGAUCCUUCCACAAACCCCAUCUCCUCUUACCCACAAGGCUGAAGGUCCUCAAAACAAGGACUAGCCUUCUUCCUACCCCCAAUUCCUUUUAAAGUUUGAGUGACAAAAUUCUCCUUAGAUGCACAUGACAAACAUGCAGCAGGACCAUAUGUGUGGCUCCUAGGGGAAAGUCAUGCCUUGCCAGGAAGCCAGAGAGCGCAGAUGUGUCAUGUGAAUCAAAGCAGAACCCUUUUCCCCAUAUCUACACAAAAUAGGUAAUGUCCUAUUUUAAACUGAUGCCAAAUCCCGUUAAUUUUAGACAGCUCACGUGUCACACAUACAGAAAUAGAGUCACAUAAGCGGGAGAAGCUUGGCAGAGCAAGACCCCAGGACAGCAGUCAGCUACAGCCACAGGGGGUGUCUCAGCAGGACUCAGUGCCAGCUAUUUAGUUCUACAGAUGACAGCGACAUGAGAUUCUGCUGCACAACCAGUAAAUAAUGGUAGCAACUUAGCACUCGGAUUUGGGGCCCUCUCUGUCAGCAGGAGCACACACUGCCUACAUGGGGAUUCAUUUUAUUACAUGUCCAAACACUAUUAUCAGAAGUGAGCCCAAUUCUCAGCUGACGCUACUGCAGUUCAAGAGAAACGUAUUAAUAACUAUUUGUUCUGCUCCCCCAGGAAUAAAACAAUUCUUACGCUGGGACUGGGAAACUACUUUAGCCCGGCUGCGGCCUCGAGUAUCAGCAGGUGUCGAGGUGACACUUGUGGCACUGCCAGAGCUCUGUCUCCUCGUACGGAUCCGACCUGGAGGAAUGCAAAGACAAUCACACUGUUAAUAAAAGGCAGCAGCAGUGUCUAACACACUCUACACCCAAUUACCCAGGGUAUACAAAAGAAUUUUAUAGGAAGAGGCAACACCUUUUAUUGGGCUGGCUGAGACGCAGGGGAGGGAAUGAAAACAGCCACAGUCCAUGAGUCCAAAAACUUCUUUGCUCUCAGUAAUGCUAUCAGCCAGUUUAAUUAAAAAAUAUUACCUCUCUAUA
This is a long non-coding RNA of Pipra filicauda (Wire-tailed manakin), 2962 nucleotides long. RefSeq lists it as uncharacterized. Lineage: Eukaryota; Metazoa; Chordata; Aves; Passeriformes; Pipridae. The record is from RefSeq and is a predicted model, not a curated record. The transcript has 2 exons.